Molecule: RNA transcript, 3916 nt
Organism: Daucus carota subsp. sativus
Lineage: Eukaryota; Viridiplantae; Streptophyta; Magnoliopsida; Apiales; Apiaceae
Gene name: protein ROOT HAIR DEFECTIVE 3-like
Exons: 21
Source: RefSeq, a predicted model, not a curated record
UUUAUAUUUUAAAUAGGCAUUUUUUGUUUUCCCCCCUUUCAGGUAGCAAACUCGCUCCAAAGAUUCCCAUUUCCGAAUUGCUCCGCAGCGCAAACUCGCUCGAAAGAUUCUCAUUUCCGAAUUGCUCCGCAGCUCCGGCUCCGAUCUUCCUCGUCGGCGUUUUCUUCAGGUUUUAGGUAGAUCAUGGUGGAUAUUGAUUUGUUUGUUAUUGAAGAUAGCACAUCUGAGAUGCUGGAAAAUUUUAUCGUGGGUACUAGGAAUGCAUGGGGAGAGAAAGUACACGAAGAUUAUGAAGUUAGAGUUCUCCCUGAUGUCGAUGAAACUAAGAUUAAUAGCUUUCAGUUUGUGGACAAGGAAGGUAGUGAGCCUAUUCAUUUGGUUUUUUGCCACAAAAAUGGUUAUUACAUCGCAUGGGGUAAACAAGACAAAAUGAUUAUAUUUAAUGACUAUAAAAAAUGGUUUAAAGUACAAGAGGAUGAUGAUAUUGAUAAUGAUAAAUUAGACCGUAAGACUGUAAAGAGAAAUGAUAAAAGAAGGCAGAAGUCGAAGCAGCCACAACCAGUAGCAAUCAUAACCCACAGAUCUAGCUCAGGGGUAGAAUUUCACCUUUCCACAGCUCAGGAGUGUGGAUUGGAUUCAGGUUAUAUGUGUCUUGAAUCUGAAGGAGGUGACAGACACACUAUUCAGGUAGGUCAACGUGCACUAUUACAUGCUUUUUAUGCAUUUCGGAAGCCAUUUGCCCCGGGUAAAGAUUACAAAAAGAAUACUAGCAAAGCGGCCAUGGCAAUUAUUCAUACCUUUUCCGAGUCAAUUAAAGAUGAUAGGAUAUUUCAGGAAGUGUUACGUCUACAUUUUUCUGGUGGUUUUCUUAGUAGAACGUUGGUUGAAAUGGAGAAUAUGUGGGGUCAUAAUUCGGAGCGAGCACACAGUUUGUUAUCUUGUGUUGGAAAGAUCGGUAAGGAUGGGAGCAUAAUUGAGUUUAAUGAGGAGGAGCAAGAAUUUAUUGGACAUAUGAGAAUUAUUAUGAAAAAAAAGUAGAAAGGGGAUGGCGAAGAAGGAGAAGGGAAGCCGGAUAAUGAUGUAAAGCAUUUAAGUUACUGAUAUAGCAGGAGAGGUAGUUGAGCUCAAAUUGGAAAUCACAAAAUUCAAAACUAGUGACAAAGUUGUUGCAAAGCUUUGGGAUGUGGUAUGCUUUGGGAUGUGAGAUAUGAAAAAUGGCUACUUCUGCUGCUUAGUUAAUGAAGGCUGUUUGGUAUGAUACUUAUGGUGGUGGUGCUUCUGCUCAAAAGAGAUAUGAAAUAUGGCUACUUCUGCUGCUAAGUUAAUGAAGGCUGUUUGGUAUGGUACUUAUGGUGGUGGUGCUUCUGCUCAAAAGCAUGUUGAAGCCCCUGUUCCUAUUCCAAUUAAAGAUGAGGUUUUAAUACAAAGUGGAGGUAUCAACAGUAAAUCAAAUUGAUUGCAAGAUACAGAGUGGAAUGUUACGUCCAGACAGUCCUGCAACUUUCCUUUCUUUCCUCAUAAGUUGAACUGCUUGUGUGUGCGCUAUAUCUUCCCCCUUCGUCUUGUCCUGCCAUUGCACAAAUCUUUAUUAAAGAACAGUUACUGAUAUAGCAGGAGAGGUAGUUGAGGUUGGACCGGAAGUCGCAAAAUUGAAAGCUGGUGAUAAAGUUGUUGCUAAGCUUAGCAAUGUGGGCUUUUCUUGGAUCCUGCUACCUUUCAAUUUUGAGGAAAAUUAAACGAUAAUGUACUUGGGUGCUGGUGGACAAGCCGAGUAGCUGUGGCAAAAGAAACUUUGACUGUUGCAAGGCCACCUGAAAAUUCAGCUGCUGCUUUACCUGUUGCUUGUCUUACAGCUGCGUCAGGAGGUCAAGGCGGUGAAUGAUGCUGUACUCAUCUGAUAGAAGGCGUUGGCACUUCUAAUGUUUUGGGGCUUGAAAAUUUUAUGAAACAAGUUGUCCAAGGGCGGACUUUCAUAUGCAGUAGUAUCUAUCAUGGGCCCACAAAGUAGUGGUACACACAGGAUCUCACGGUAUUAAUAACAGGUCCCAAACUACGAAAGCAUAUGGAUGGGAAAUUGUGCUGGAAUUGAGCCUUGUACCAUCACAAUGGAUAUGGAGGCUACGGAUGGAAGAGAACAGGGAGAGGAUGAUACUGCAUUUGAAAAGAAGAGUACUCUCUUUGCCCUUGUGUUUCAGAUAUUGUGCUGAUAAAUAUGUUGCAAAUGCAUAAAAGGUUCAACAUAACUUAUGAUGACCAUUUACAGUUCAUGAUGCAAUUAGUCAGUCCUCGUACAACAACUUUAAUGUUUGUCAUACGUGAUAAGACACGGAGUUUUAAUGUUUCAAUGCUUGAAGCUUCUGGAAAAUUUGGCUCCUGUUUUAAGGGAAGAUAUACAGAAGUUAAGAUAUGCGAUUCUGUUCCCAAGCAACAAGCCCACAAGGAAACCUUACUAUGUGAGUUUGUAAAUGUUGAAUUUGUGGGUUUUUCUAGUUACGAAGAGAAGGAAGAUCCAUUUGUAGAUCAGAUGGAGCAGCUCUAAAAAGUCCCUCAGGCUAGAAAUAUGAUGCUGUAAUCCACUGCGCAGCAGGUAUUCCAUGGUCUACUUUUGAGCCUCAGUUGAGCCCCAGGGGAAGGGUGCUGGUGGACAAGCCGAGUAUGCUGUGGAAAAAGAAACUUUGACUGUUGCAAGGCCACCUGAAAAUUCAGCUGCUGCUUUACCUAUUGCUUGUCUUACAGCUCUCUAGGCUCUUACUGAAACUGUAGGACUGAAGAUGGACAGAAGUGGACCAAAGGCUUAUGUCCCUGUAACUGCUGCGUCAGGAGGUGUGGGUCACUAUGCUUUACAAUUGGUCAUUGUUAAAAAAGCAUGUUUAGAUUCCUUUCUGCUGUGCCAAAGAAAGAUGAAGUGUUGCUAAAGGUGAAAGCAGCAAGAAUUAAUCCAUUUGAUUGGUAGAUGCAGAAAGGGAUGCUGCGCCCUUUUUUACCACUCCGAAUUCCUAAAAUACCGUUAGCUGAUGUAGCAGUAGAGGUGGUUGAGACCGGAAGCGAAGUAAAACACUUAAAAGCAGGUGACAAAUUCGUGGCAAUGCUUUGCAUCUUUGGAAGUGGUGGUGGGUUAGCUUAGUAUGCUGUGGACAAUGAAAAGUUAACAGUUUCUAGGCCAUCUGAAGUAUCAGCUGCUAAAGGUGCUGGCUUACCUGUAGUAGGUCUUACUGCUCACCAGACUCUCACCCAAUCUGCCGGAGUUAAGCUUGAUGCAAGUGGUCAGUGAUCAGAUAUACUUAUUACUGCUGCUUUAGGAGGUGUAGGCUUGUAUGCAGUGCAACUUGCAAAGCUUGGGAACACACACGUGACGGCCACUUGUGGUGCCCCUGUAACAUUAGUCUAGUGAAGAGUAUGGGUGCUGAUUAGGUUCUUGACCACCCAGCGCCAGAUGGAGCAGCUCUAAAAAAUCCCUCAGGCUAGAAAUAUGAUGCUGUAAUCCACUGCGCAGCAGGUAUUCCAUGGUCUAGUUUUGAGCCUCAGUUGAGCCCCAGGGGAAGGGUAAUUGAUAUUAUGCCAGGUCCUGAUACCACAUGGAAAUUAGUAAGUGGGAAACUCACAUUCUCUGGGAAGCAGAUAGUGCCUUUAGUUUUAAUCCCAAAACGGGAAACCUGGCUCACCUUGUUAAGUUGGUGAAGGAAGGGAAGGUUAAAACAGUGGUAGACUCUAAUUAUCCAUUAAGCAAAGUUGGAGAUGCUUGGGCUAAGAGCAUCGAUGGCCAUGCUACUGGUAAAAUUUAAGAUCUUAGAUUGUUUUUCCUGUAGAAACUAUGUGCAUAGAGUUGUCCAUGACAAAGAACCGUUUCUUUUCUUUAGAGUACGUACAUGCGAAUUAAGCUAUACACUGCUGAAACAAAUGAUAAUUUUUUUUUUCA